AAACUCCUAGAAAACCUCUCAAAAUUCCUCUACAUCAUCUAUCGUUCCCGCUCCCCCAAAACAAUUCACCGCUAGGGUUUUGUCGAGCCACUGCUAUCACCAUGGAUCUCUCAAACGCGAAGAAUCGCAGUUGGGUCGGAUUCAACGGUUCAGGUUCCUUCAGCAAUAGCUUUUGGAAGUGGUGAAGGGUUUAGGGUUCUUACGGCAUCACAAAUUUCUGUGGCCCUAGUUGAGGGAUCUAUGGUGGCUUUGGAAUGUGGCUCGAGUUCCGAGAUCAAUCGACCAUAUUAAUGGCAGGCUGACUGAAGCUGAUUGCCGAGGCAUGAAGGUUGAGGUCACUGCCCUGGGAAGAGAGGAUCAAUGCGGAGAAAUGAGGCAUACAACAAAGUUUGGGAGCAAUGCUCCAGCUGGUUGUGCUGAAUGCAAGGUAUGAUCUUCUUUGACGGUUUGCAAACUUUGUGGAUGCUUCUCUGCAUAUUUGUUCUGUGGUAUGGCAUAUUCUCAGAUUGUUAGUUAUGUCCGUUAUUAGAAUACUUGUAGCUUGUUAGUACAUUUAAACUUCGUACCUGAAACAAUUUUAAUGGUGGAGAUGUUGCUAUUAUUAAUUUCUUUUUCCCCUUUAUUAUGAGUGUGAUUCUCUCCUUUCGAUAUAAAUAUCCCGCCUUCCUAUUCUUGUCUGCUGUUGCUUUGUACCUUCAUUUCCCACUUUUGUUUUGAUUAAUAUUUUUUUUUUGCUUAUGACAACUGGGUGAUCAUGGUAAUUUCGAAUAAAAUGGUUGUUAUGUGCAAGUACUUUGUGAAAUAUACCAUUCUGAAGCCUGUUUCAUUGUUUUGUUACCUGACACGGUUAGAAAAUUCAGUAGACCUUCUGUCAGCCUUGCAAUGCAUUGCAUUUUGUUUAUUUGUUGAAUGAUGAUUGUCUUUAGCCGAUCACUAGAACUGCUAUAGGUUACCAUUUUGUAGCAUGUGUUUAGAAUGCUCUUUUUUUCUUGUGGGAAGAAUGAAAUCCAAAAGUACGCAAGUUUUAAUAUAUUUGUAACUGGGUAGGGUAACUAAAUUUUCUGUAGUAAUUGUUAAAAUCUACACUCAGUACCAUUUCUGUUGCCCUUGUAAUUAUACUUUUAUUGAUAGAACUGCAGAUCAUAAAUUCACAGAUCAUAAAUUCAGAUCAUGGAGUCUUUGGUGAUAGAACUGCAGAUCAUAAAUUCGAAGAUCAUAAAUUCAGAUCAUGGAGUCUUUGGUGAUAGAUCUGCAGAUCAUAAAUUCAUCUUCUUUAAUAUAUGUAAAAAAAUGUUAUUUUUAAUGUGCUGAUUACAAGUUUUAUUUGUGGCC
Asparagus officinalis (garden asparagus) is the source of this 1332-nucleotide long non-coding RNA. RefSeq lists it as uncharacterized. The transcript is spliced from 3 exons. The record is from RefSeq and is a predicted model, not a curated record. NCBI's taxonomy places the organism in Eukaryota, Viridiplantae, Streptophyta, Magnoliopsida, Asparagales, Asparagaceae.